RNAcentral lists this ribosomal RNA (253 nucleotides) under uncultured bacterium. Its description in RNAcentral is "partial 16S ribosomal RNA". It matches the Rfam family "Bacterial small subunit ribosomal RNA", at positions 524 to 776 of the family's 1533-position model. The record is from RNAcentral.
UACAGAGGUGGCAAGCGUUGUUCGGAAUUACUGGGCGUAAAGGGCGCGUAGGCGGCCCGUCAAGUCCCGUGUGAAAUCCCUCGGCUUAACCGGGGAACUGCGUCUGAUACUGGAUGGCUUGAGUUUGGGAGAGGGACGCGGAAUUCCAGGUGUAGCGGUGAAAUGCGUAGAUAUCUGGAGGAACACCGGUGGCGAAGGCGGCGUCCUGGACCAACACUGACACUGAGGAGCGAAAGCCAGGGGAGCAAACGGG